Molecule: ribosomal RNA, 434 nt
Filed under: Euastacus woiwuru
Lineage: Eukaryota; Metazoa; Arthropoda; Malacostraca; Decapoda; Parastacidae
Description: eukaryotic LSU rRNA
Rfam family: Eukaryotic large subunit ribosomal RNA
Source: RNAcentral
GGGCCUAAAUGAAUGCUCAUUCAGAUCCCAUCGAAAGGCGUUGGUUGCUAUAGACAGCAGGACGGUGGUCAUGGAAGUCGGAAUCCGCUAAGGAGUGUGUAACAACUCACCUGCCGAAGCAACUAGCCCUUAAAAUGGUAUGGCGCUCAAGCAUUCUCCCGAUACUCGACCGCCGGGGCACUAGAGGCCAGCCACGUCCCAGAGGCGAGGCCUCGAAGCCCCGGUGAGUAAGAGGGUCGCAGUGGUGAGCGCUGAAGGGAUCCGGCGUGAGCCGGCCUGGAGCCGCCACUGGUGCAGAUCUUGGUGGUAGUAGCAAAUACUCGAGAGAGACUCCCUUGAAGACCGAUGUGGAGAAGGGUUCCAUGUGAACAUCAGUUGGACAUGGGUUAGUCGCUCCUAAGCCCAAGGCUAAGGCCUGAUCCCAUGCUAGCGGC